CCUACGGGAGGCAGCAGUGGGGAAUAUUGGGCAAUGGAGGAAACUCUGACCCAGCGACGCCGCGUGCGGGAUGAAGGCCUUCGGGUUGUAAACCGCUUUCAGUAGGGAAGAAGCGAAAGUGACGGUACCUACAGAAGAAGCACCGGCUAACUAUGUGCCAGCAGCCGCGGUAAUACAUAGGGUGCAAGCGUUGUCCGGAAUUAUUGGGCGUAAAGAGCUCGUAGGUGGUUCGUCACGUCGGAUGUGAAAAUCUGGGGCUCAACCCCAGACCUGCAUUCGAUACGGGCGAUCUAGAGUGUGGUAGGGGAGACUGGAAUUCCUGGUGUAGCGGUGGAAUGCGCGGAUAUCAGGAGGAACACCAAUGGCGAAGGCAGGUCUCUGGGCCAUUACUGACACUGAGGAGCGAAAGCGUGGGGAGCGAACAGGAUUAGAUACCCUGGUAGUCCACGCCGUAAACGGUGGGCACUAGUUGUGGGAACCUUCCACGGUUUCUGCGACGCNGCUACGCAUAGUCGCCCGCCGUCGGGAGGUACGANCGCAGAAUAAACUACAACGAAGUAGACGGCGUGAGACGUGCCGACGGACGACGACGAGGGAGGUAGG
RNAcentral lists this ribosomal RNA (603 nucleotides) under uncultured bacterium. Its description in RNAcentral is "bacterial SSU rRNA". The stretch from base 1 to 521 matches the Rfam family "Bacterial small subunit ribosomal RNA", at positions 338 to 873 of the family's 1533-position model. The record is from RNAcentral.